This 302-nucleotide long non-coding RNA is filed under the name Vigna radiata. RNAcentral describes it as "long non-coding RNA (VRAD_LNC008305)". The record is from RNAcentral. Lineage: Eukaryota; Viridiplantae; Streptophyta; Magnoliopsida; Fabales; Fabaceae.
AUAUAUAGACACACACAUGUAGGGAUUGGUAUCAUAAGGAUUUGUUUUACCAAAGUCGUCCAUGAGGUCAGUACAGUAGACUUUUCUUCGCUCACCAUCAAAAGUAUAAUUCAUGUUAUUUAAAUGCGACAAACAACAAAAAAGUUGUAAUAUACCUAAGUAUGUUUAUGUUCAAAAUAUAAAUUUUGUUUAUUCCUACAGUUCAGCAGUCAACCAAAUCUCUCUCAUGCAAUGCAACACGACACGAGGAAUUAAUCUCUAUCAUCACCCCUCGGUCCGAAGUGCCCAACUCUCUUUUCUUC